UCAUAUAUAUCCACUAUUCCUAGUGCAAUAUUACCCAAAGCAUCUCUUCUCUCCCUGUACACAGGACCAAAAGUGCAGGCACAUCAUUUAUUGAUAAGACAAAAAGAAUGUAAUGAAAUUAUCAAUGUUCUUGAAUUAAUUAUGAACAUGAUUAAGAAAGCUAAAAUCUCAGGAGCCAGGAUCUCAUUACCCAUUCAGUCUUAGGGAUUGCUUUCAUUCAGCUAAGCAAAAAGGCUUUGAGCAGUCCCACAAUUGCCUUUCUCUCAUUUAUUUGUGCUAGAAUUAAGGUUUAUUUGUUUUCUGUUUUCUCCUUCUUCAGAGAUUAUUUCUCUUAGUUUAUCCAUUUAACAAAUUGUUUCUUCCUGUAUCAUAGAAGAAUGCCCCUGUAGGGCCUCCAUCACUGUCUUCUGGCUACAGACCUCCUCCUUUUGAGGGCAUUUUCUCUCCACUCAUUUUGCUGGGAGCUCCUAAAUAUCUCUCAAGGAGAUGCAAGGUUUUAAUGAUGGCACCUGAAGCAGGAACACCAAGAGUCUCUUUGGAGCCUUGUACAAGCUUUUUGAGAAAAAAAAAUAAGCUGAGUUAUUUAAGCUGCUGCUAAUUUCCAGUAAAAUUAGAAGAAAAAGAAAGGAAGAAAUGAGCCUGUGAGAAGAGUGAGAUGAUAGAUUGAAUUACAUCAGUAAAGCUGCAUGAACUGAAAGUAUCGAUAGCCUGAUAACCUGGUCUACAGGGACGAGGUCUUAGUGGUCUCUGAUUCUGAGAGGCGAAUGAUUUUUGUUUUCAA
This 781-nucleotide long non-coding RNA is filed under the name Monodelphis domestica (gray short-tailed opossum). RNAcentral describes it as "lncRNA (ENSMODG00000048083.1)". Lineage: Eukaryota; Metazoa; Chordata; Mammalia; Didelphimorphia; Didelphidae. The record is from RNAcentral.